RNAcentral lists this long non-coding RNA (594 nucleotides) under Phascolarctos cinereus (koala). RNAcentral's name for it is "lncRNA (ENSPCIG00000011731.2)". The record is from RNAcentral. Lineage: Eukaryota; Metazoa; Chordata; Mammalia; Diprotodontia; Phascolarctidae.
AUGCUGGGCCAUUGUUAUUAUUAUUGCUCUUUCCCAAAAUAGGAUACCACAUGAGGCUGUGUACCUAACAACAUGAGACCCCCUACCACCAGGAGGAAGCCAGCUGGGGAAGCAGGGCCCUAGGCAUCUCCCAGGUGACAAAACCAGGUUUGCUCUGGCUGCCUUCCUGACCCUCUCAGCAGGUAGCCACCUCCUCUCUGCACAUGCUGUGGUGUCAUGGAUUACAGACCACAAAGACAAAGCCCAGGCUUCAGGCACCUGGUGAACAAAGCAGAACUAACUCCUCUCUACCAAAGGAUAAUGACAAGAAAUGCCUCUAGAAGACCUCAGAACUCUGCUCAAAACCCAACCAAGGAGGAGGAGGACUUGUCUGCUGCUGCUGCUGAAGGCCGAUGAAAAAGAAGAUGAAGAUUCAAAGACUGCUGAUGAAACCUGCAUUCCCACCUCUUGAGAGAGAGACAGACGGAGACGAGUGUUCUCAGCUGCGGCUGGCGUGUCUGUGUCUGUCUGGGACUGUUCACGUAUGUCAUAAAGGGCAGGCCUCAGGAGGACAGGUUAGUGGGCAGUGACAGAUGUGCAAAAGUGACCCCCCAA